CUUCCCAGCCCCGCCCGCCGCCCCGCGCCGCCACCUGCGGGCCGCCCUCCAGGAUGCCCGCCGGCCACGUCCUAGUCGCCUGGAGCCGCGCCCCGCCUUCCUCGCCCGCGGCUGCCCCUGCACUUUUACCCACGCCGUGGGGCACAGAGAAGUAUCCGGUAAAGACCUGGAUCCGGAAAAGCUGAUCACAUCCCUCCCCGAGCGCUUAUUUACUUCUAGCACUUCUCGGGGUCCUUCCAGAGUCAGUCUAAGAGAAGGAUGGGACCCCCGCGGCCCGGGGCGCUGAUUGUCGUGAACACAGUGGAAGUCCAGGCGUUCUGUUCCUGCAGGGCGGGCUGUCUCCUAGCAAAGCCGCCCUUAGGCUUAAAUGGAGGGAGGAUGGAGCCGGGGACGGGGGGAAGGCUGGAGGGGAUGGAACUGGCUGUUGGACUAAGAUGCCACCAAAGGGUGACAGGCAGGGGGCUGGCGGACAGCAGAGAGGGGAUCAGGAACCGAUCCAGGAAGUAAGAGCUCACAGGCCACUCUAUUAUGCAAAUCACUUGUGGACGGUUUAACAGGGAACAACCCACAUGAUCUCAUUUCCAGUUGAGGCUACUGAGUCUACUUCUUUUCAACCCAGGGGUCAUAGAGGACAUUGGGAGGACUUGAAGAAGACUCAGACCAGAACCAAAGGUGUAAGGAAACUAAACCCUGCAAAACCUGAUUUCUCAUACUGGCAUAGACUUGACUUGAAGAGAUCAUCAAGUGUAUAGUGAAGAUUGGCUCAGGCAAGAAUCAUCCAUGAAUGCUUACUCUAGGGGGCUGUUACUGGCUGGCAGAUAUUUGUCUGGGUUGAUGUGUCUCCCCAUAGAUGGUUUAGACCUGUUAGUAGCAAAAGCGGAAAUAGUAACUAUACAAAGAGGCAGGCAGACAGCAUCUUAACCAGGUGAUCAAAAUUUACAUCACCAAUGAGAGCAGAUGGAUAUCAUGUCCACAUCAGCUAUGCAGUAUUCCUGGGGACAAUGCAUAACCUGAAUCAUGAUAGUGAAACAUCGGACAAACCCAAAAUGAGGAACAUCUAUUAAAAAGAGGAAGGGUCUGUAUUAUUCAAAAAUGUCAAGGUCAUUAAAAUCAAAAGAAAGCUUGGGAAAUGUUCCAGAUUAAAGGGUGCAAAAGAGUCAGGGCAGCUAAAUGCCAUGCCUGAUCCUAGACUGCAUCCUGUGCUAGAGGAGGGGAAAUACAUCACGGACAUUCCAGCUGACAAAAUCAGAAUCCAUGUAAGAGAUUAAAGUAUUGGAUCAAUGUUAAAUGUACUGAUGUUGAUAACUUCCACUGUAAUUAUGUACAAGAAUAUCUAAUUCUUGGGAAAUACACACUAAAGUAUCUUGAAAGGGUAAAGGUCAUAAUGUAUGCAGCUUACCUUCAAAUGAUUCAGGGGAAAAAAAAUCUUGAUAGGAAAAAAUGAUAAAGCCAAGUGGGCAAUAAAGGUAAGGUGCAUAUUAUCAGUGAAUCAGCAUAUAGAGUGUACUUGAACAUUUCUGUAAGUUUGAACUUAUUUCCAAAUAAAAAGAUUUGGAAAAAUCCAUCAAGUUGGGGAAUGAAGUAAGGUGGAAAGAAAGCAGGUAUGAUAUAAAAGGGCAACACAAGGGAUCCUUGUGAAUUUGGAACUGUUAAACAUCUUGAGUAUGGUAGUACAGGUGAUAAAAUUAUCUAGAACUUAAUAUACACACAAAUGAGUACAAGUAAAACUGGGAAAAUCUGAAUAAGAUAGGUAAAUUGUAUCAAUGUCAAUAUCCUAGUUAUGAUAUCAUAUUAAGGUUUUGCAAAUGUUGUCAUUGGGGGAAACUAGGCCAAAUAUAUAUAUGUGUGUGUGUGUGUGUAUUUUUUUUUUCCCAAGACGGAGUUUUGCUCUUGUUGCCCAGCCUGGAGUGCAAUGGCACAAUCUCAGUUCACUGCAACCUCCACCUCCCAGGUUCAGGGAAUUCUCCUGCCUCAGCCUCCUGAGUAGCUGGGAUUACAGGCGUGCACCACCAUGCCUGGCUAAUUUUUGCAUUUUUAGUAGGGAUGGGGUUUCACCAUGUUGGUCAGGCUGGUCUCGAGCUCCUGACCUCAGGUGAUCCACCUGCCCCAGCCUCCCAAAGUGCUGGGAUUACAGGCAUGAGCCACCGCACCUGGCCCAAAUAUAUUAUUUCUUAGAAAUGAAUGUGAAUCUACCAUUAUCUCAAUGCAAUUUUUAAUUACAAAAAAAAUCAUUUUUAAUUACAAAAAAACUGUAUGUAAAUGGGCAUGCCCAUCAGGGAGCAUGCCAGAGCAGAUAUGCUGGAGCUCUCAUAGUGGAUCUAGAAUAGACAUGGUGCUGUUACCAACAGUGAAGGCUUUCAAGAAAAAAAAAAAAUUAGACUAUUUGAAGUAUAACUGACCGAUCAGAUUCCUUCCAGUUCUGUAAUUUAACAAUCCUAGAGCUGGGGGUUCUUUGAGAUCAUCUAGUCCAACCUACUCAUUUUCUGGAAACUGUGGGCAGAAAAGUAGUGUGUGUCCACAGGAGCAUCAAAUUAGCGGUAGACCCGUUAACUACUGCUUGUCUGCCAAAUAUGUUCUACUUUCUUUACACCUUUACCAGCUGUCUGUCACUCCCUAUAUCUAUGAGAUUCAGUUAAGGCUGGUAGAAAAUUUUGAAGUCAUUCAUUCUUUGGAGUCCCUGAUUUGUUCUGUAGUGCCAGAUGACAGGCAUGUGGAUUCUGCCCCUGAGGAGUAGGGACCAGUUUUCCUCUCCUACUCUCAGCUUGGAGGAAGCAGAUGGCAGGCGGGGCCCCAGUGACAGCCCCAGUUCUGGGCCUGACUGAGCUGAUGAACUACUUGGAGCAGCUGCUGACCUGCUGCUGCUGGAAGCCAGUGGAACAGGAACCUGGGAGGGAAGCAGAAUGGAUACAAGAAAGGAAAACAGUAAUUGCCCUGGUAAGUCCUCCCUUCAUCCAGCAUGAGGCAGAAGUAGCUGCAACAGAGGCAACUGGCUUCCCUUGAGCCACAGAUAGCCACUGUAUUCUUUCCUUUUGUUGAAUCAAAUCGAAAUUAAUCUAUGUUUACUUGCAUUUGCCAGGCCCUCGUUAGUAACUGUGGGAAAAUACAAAAUAGAAUAUCUGAUCCCUACCCAUUAGGAACCCAGAAUGCAUCCAGGGACCCAAGGUGGAAAUGUUGAAAGUGACCCAACAAAAGCAAUUAAAAGGCUAGCUAUAUUAGCUGGGGUUCCCCCCAAAAGCAACAUUGGAGAAGGACUCAUGGGCAGAUACUUUCUUCUGGAAAAUGAUCCCGUAGGAUAUGGGUAGAAAAAGAAAUUGGGACCAGAAAGAAUGAAACAGGAAAGAAAGAAAGCCUAUUGAAGGAUAUAAAAUUUCUGUAAACAACUGGAGCUUAGUCCCACUGAGGCCCCCUGAGGAACUGCGCAGAAUGUAAGACAGAGGAGGAAAUAUUUAGCCACCAGUUCCUAUCUCCCAUUGGCCAACUUGAUGCUGAGUUCAGGAGUGGUGGCUCACACCUGUAAUCUCAGCAUUUUGGGAGGCCAAGGUGGGUGGAUCACUUGAGCCUCAGAGUUCAAGGCCAGCCUAAGCAACAUAGCAAGACCCCAUCUCUACAAAAGAAAAAUUUAAAAAUUGGCUAUGGAAGUAUGAAGGUAUAUGCCUGUAGUUCCAGUUACUCAAGAGGCUGAAGCAGGAGGAUUGCAUGAACCCCUGAACUCAAGACUGCAGUGAACUAUAACUGAACGAUGGCACUGCAGCCUGAGCAACAGAGCAAAACUCUUGUCUCAAAAAAAAAAAAAAAAGUAGAUGCUGAGCAAAAAAAGCUAACUAAGAUACAACAUGGGACAUAUAUAAAAGAUGCCUGACACCAGCUUUAUUCAUUGCUGCAGUCCCAGCACCAACAACAGUGCCUGACUCAUAGAUGCCCCGUCAAUAGAUACAGAAAGAAUGUCUGGGUGCGGUGGCUCAUGCCUGUAAUCCCAGCAUUUUGGGAGGCCAAGGCAGGCAGAUCACUUGAGGAGGAUCACUUCAACUUCUGUUGAAGACCAGCCUGGCCAACAGGGUGAAACCCCGUUUCUACUAAAAAUACAAAAUUAGCUGGCAUGGUGGUGCAUGUCUGUAAUCCCAGCUACUUGGGAGGCUGAGGCAGGAGAAUCAUUUGAACCCAGGAGGCAGAGGUUGCAGUGAGCAGAGAUCAUGCAGUUGCACUCCAGCCUGGGCGACAGAACGAGACUCUGUCUCAGAAAAAAAAGAAAAACAAAAAGAAAAAAAAAAAAGGGCGGGACGAGGUGGCUCACACCUGUAAUCCUAGCACUGUGGGAGUCCGAGUCGGGCAGAUCACCUAAGGUCCGGAGUUCCAGACCGACCUGGUUAACAUGGUGAAACCCCGUCUCUACUAAAAAUACAAAACAAAUUAGCUGGGAGUGGUGGCACAUGCCUGUAGUUCCAGCUACUCGGGAGGCCAAGGCAGGAAAAGCUCUUGAACCAGGGAGACGGAGGUUGCAAUGAGUCAAGAUCGCACCACUGCACUCCAGCCUGGGCGACAGAGCGAGACUCCAUCUCAAAAAAAAAAAAAAGAAUGAAUGAAAUACUGUAAAAAGUAGAUCCAUAAGUCAUAUAUUGACAGUUUUGCGUGUGUGUCUAUUUUUUUUGGUUUUUGUUUUUAUUUUUUUUAGAGACGAGGUCUUGCUGUGUUGCUCAGGCUGGUCUCCAACUCCUGAGCUCAAGCAAUUCUCCCACCUGAGAUUCCCAAAGCGCUGGGAUUACAGGAGUGCACCGCCAUGCCCAGCCUGUGUCUGUUGGACUAGGCUAGGGUGAUAGAGUAGUGGGUAAAACAGAUGCAUUCCUCAGCCUGGGCAAAAUAGGGAGGCCCUGUCUCUACAAAAAAAUCAAAAAACUAGUCAGGGAUAGUGACAUGUGCCUGUGGUCCCAGCUACUUUGGAGCCUGAGGUGGGAGGACUGCUUGAUCCCAGGAGGUCUAGGCUGCAGUGAGCCAUGAUUGUGCCACUGCAUUCCAGCCUGGGUGACAGAAGGAUACCCAGUGUCAAAAAAGAAAAAAAAAACGGGUAUAUUCCUAGCCCUAAUGGACCUUUCUGUCCAGGAGAGGAGUCAGAUAAUGUGAUACACAUAUACAUAUUUAAUUAGUUUGUGAAGGCCAGGCAUGGUGGCUCACGCCUGUAAUCCCAGCACUUUGGGAGGCCAAGGCAGGCAGAUCACUUGAGGUCAGGAGUUUGAGAUCAGCCUGACCAACAUGGUGAAACCCCUGUCUCUACUAAAAAUACAAAAAUUAGCCAGGCGUGGUGGUGUGCGUCUGUAAUCCCAGCUACUCGGGAGGCUGAGGUGAGAGGAUCAUUUGAACCCGGGAGGUAGAGAUUGCAUUGAGCCAAGAUCGCACCACUGCACUUCAGCCUGGGUGGCAGAGUGAGACUCUGUCUCAAAAAAACAAACAAAAAAAAAAUAGUUUGUGAAAAGUGCUAUGAAGAAAAAGAUGCAGGUGCUGUAAGUAGGAUAAGAAGGGGGUUUAUGAUAAAUCAGUUGGUUGAGGAAGAUCUAAGGCGCUAACACUUAAGCUGAGACCCAAAGGAGGAACAGGAACCAACCAUGCAAAGUGGAGGGGCAAGAUCAGACCCAGAAGUGGGAAAGGCCCUCGAUGGCUGGAGCCAUGGUGGGGUUUCAGGGAAAAGCCAGGCAAUGAGACUUCAUGGUUCUGGUAAGGAGUAAAGAGUUUUAGGUAAGACUGACAUGGUCACAUUCACUUUCUAAAAACCUCCUUCUAGCCGCUGUGUGGAGGAUGAACUCAAGUGGAUAAUCAAAAACCUCCACACUGCUGGCUGUGGAGGGUGUGAAUACCAGACCACAUCAAGACCAGCACAGAAGGGUCAGCUGCCACAGCAUCUCCUCUACCACCACUACUGCCACCAGUAAUUCUUCAGGAAUAUGCUAAAACCCACUGUAACAUAAAUGGGUUCAAAAAUGGCAAUUGGUAGACUAUCGGGUUCCAUAGCUGAAGGUUAAUUAAAACCAAUAUUUCUAGGCCGGGUGCGGUGGCUCACGCCUGUAAUCCCAGCACUUUGGGAGGCCGAGGCGGGCGGAUCACGAGGUCAGGAGAUCCAGACCAUCCUGGCUAACACGGUGAAACCUGUCUCUACCAAAAAUACAAAAAAUUAGCCAGGCGUGGUGGCGGGCACCUGUAGUCCCAGCUACUCGGGAGGCUGAGGCAGGAGAAUGGCGUGAACACGGGAGGCGGAGCUUGCAGUGAGCCAAGAUCGUGCCACUGCACUCCAGCCUGGGCGACAGAGUGAGACUCCUUCUCAAAAACCAAACCAAACCAAACAAAACAAACAAAAUCAAUAUUUCUAGCCUGGGCAACAUAGGGUGACCUUGUCUCUACAAUUUUUUUUAAUUGGCUAGGUGUGGUGGUGCAUGCCUGUGGUCCCAGCUACUCAGGAGGCUGAGGUGGGAGGAUUGCUUGAGCAUGGGAAGUAGAGGCUUCAGUGAGCCAUGAUUGCACCACUACAUUCCAGCCUGGGCGACAGAGCAAGACCCUGUCUAAAAGAAAAAAAAAAAAACUCUCAGACAAUCUUACAAUUAGUGUGUGAGGGAAAGGGGAAAAAUGUUUUCUAUUAUUACAUGUGUAGGAAAUGGAACAAUUACAACAAACAAAGUAUCAGCUUGAAUUGAACUGAGAGCACCCCACAUGAUUGUGGGGUAUUCAUCUAUAAUCACCCCAAACACAUACAUACUCUAAGAAAAGAGCUUGAACCUGUCACCAUUUCAGAAGGAGAGCAGAGUCCAAUUAUGUUUCAUCCACAUGCACAUUAUCCUGAAAUCUCUUUUUUUUUUUUUUUUUUUUGAGACAGGGUCUUGCUCUAUUGCCCAGGCUAGAGUGCAGUGGUACGAUCUCAGUUCACUGCAACCUCCACCUCCCGGGUUCAAGCAAUUCUCCUGCCUCAGCCUCCCGAGUAGCUUGGAUUACAGGCACAUGCCACCGUGCCCGGCUAAUUUUUGUAUUUUUAGUAGCGAUGGGGGUCUCACCAUGUUGGCCAGGCUGGUCUCGAACUCCUGGCCUCAAGUGAUCCGCCCACCUCAGCCUCCCAAAGUGCUGGGAUUACAGGCAUGAGCCACAACAUUCGGCUCCCCCUUUUUUUUUUCUUAGAGACGGUGUCUCGCUCACUGCGCUGCCACCCCCCUUUUUUUUUUCUUAGAGAUGGUGUCUUGCUCUGGCACCCAGGCUGGAGUACAGUGGUGCUAUGAUCACUCACUGCAGCCUCAAACUCCUGGGCUCAAGCGAUCUUACUGCCUCAUCCUCCCAGGUAGCUGAGACUACAGGUGCAUGCCACCAAGCCCAGUUAAUUUUUUUUGAGGGGGGGUAGAGAUUAGGGGGCACAUGUCUCACUAUGUUGCACAGGCUGGUUUUGAACUUCUGGCCUCGUGAUCCUCUACCUUUGCCUCCCAAAGUGCUGGGAUUAUAGCUAGGAGCCACCGUGCCCAGCCAUCAUAGAAUAUUUUAUGCCAGAUUUUAAUCUCACAUUUAUUGAGCACAGUUUGCACCAAGCACUGUGCUAAGUAGCACUGCACUAAGUGCUUUAUUUUUUUAAUUUUUAUUUUAUUUAUUUAUUUAUUUUUGAGACAGAGUCUUAUUCUAUCACCCAGGCCAGAGUGCAGUGGCAAGAUCUCAGCUUACUGCAACCUCGGCCUCCAGGGUUCAAGCAAUCCUCUUGCCUCAGCCUCCUGAGUAGCUGGGACUACAGGCGUGUGUGCGCCACCAUGCCCAGCUAAUUUUUGUAUUUUUAGUAGAAAUGGAGUUUUGCCAUGUUUGCCAGGCUGGUCUCGAGCUCUUGACCUCAGGUGAUACUCUUGCCUUGGCCUCCAAAGUGCUAGGAUUACAGGUGUGAGCCACUGCACCCAGCCAUGUGCUAAGUGCUUUAGUAACAUCAGUUCCUUCAUUCUGACAGCAACUCUAUGAGACAGCUAUUAUCUGCAGUUUAUAGAUAAGGAAACUGACCCUUGGAUAAGUGAAUUAACGUAUACAGUCAUAAACUAUUGAAAAAGUCAGGCUGCUAGCCCCAUAUGACUGAUUAAACACUUUGCUUUUGUCUCUGCGAAGUAAAAGAGAGUCAACCUCAGUCUUGGGUAAUGGGAAGAAUGAAGAGGAGAGGAAUGGCACGGGAAAAGAAUUCUAGGAUUAAGACAUGAGGGGCUGGGCAUGGUGGCUCAAGCCUGUAAUCCCACCACUUUGGGAGGCUGUGGCAGGUGGAUUGCUUGAGCUCAGGAGUUCGAGACCAGCCUGGGCAACA
This 8290-nucleotide long non-coding RNA is filed under the name Homo sapiens (human). Its description in RNAcentral is "non-protein coding lnc-ULK4-14:1". Lineage: Eukaryota; Metazoa; Chordata; Mammalia; Primates; Hominidae. The record is from RNAcentral.